This 485-nucleotide ribosomal RNA is filed under the name uncultured bacterium. Its description in RNAcentral is "bacterial SSU rRNA". It matches the Rfam family "Bacterial small subunit ribosomal RNA", at positions 28 to 526 of the family's 1533-position model. The record is from RNAcentral.
GACGAACGCUGGCGGCGUGCUUAACACAUGCAAGUCGAACGAUGAACAGGAGCUUGCUCCUGGGAUUAGUGGCGAACGGGUGAGUAACACGUGAGUAACCUGCCCUUGACUCUGGGAUAAGCGUUGGAAACGACGUCUAAUACCGGAUACGUGCUGCGGCCGCAUGGCCUGCAGUUGGAAAGAAUUUCGGUCAAGGAUGGACUCGCGGCCUAUCAGGUUGUUGGUGAGGUAAUGGCUCACCAAGCCUACGACGGGUAGCCGGCCUGAGAGGGAGACCGGCCACACUGGGACUGAGACACGGCCCAGACUCCUACGGGAGGCAGCAGUGGGGAAUAUUGCACAAUGGGCGAAAGCCUGAUGCAGCAACGCCGCGUGAGGGAUGACGGCCUUCGGGUUGUAAACCUCUUUUAGUAGGGAAGAAGCGAAAGUGACGGUACCUGCAGAAAAAGCACCGGCUAACUACGUGCCAGCCGCCGCCGUAAAAC